UACGUAGGGUGCGAGCGUUAAUCGGAAUUACUGGGCGUAAAGCGUGCGCAGGCGGUGAUGUAAGACAGAUGUGAAAUCCCCGGGCUCAACCUGGGAACUGCAUUUGUGACUGCAUCGCUGGAGUGCGGCAGAGGGGGAUGGAAUUCCGCGUGUAGCAGUGAAAAGCGUAGAUAUGCGGAGGAACACCGAUGGCGAAGGCAAUCCCCUGGGCCUGCACUGACGCUCAUGCACGAAAGCGUGGGGAGCAAACAGG
RNAcentral lists this ribosomal RNA (253 nucleotides) under uncultured bacterium. RNAcentral describes it as "partial 16S ribosomal RNA". It matches the Rfam family "Bacterial small subunit ribosomal RNA", at positions 524 to 776 of the family's 1533-position model. The record is from RNAcentral.